CCCUUAGACGUUCUGGGCCGCACACGCGCUACACUGACGGAGCCAGCGAGUAUAAACCUUGGCCGAGAGGUCUGGGAAAUCUUGUGAAACUCCGUCGUGCUGGGGAUAGAGCAUUGUAAUUAUUGCUCUUCAACGAGGAAUUCCUAGUAAGCGCAAGUCAUCAGCUUGCGUUGAUUACGUCCCUGCCCCUUGUACACACCGCCCGUCGCUACUACCGAUUGAAUGGCUUAGUGAGGCUUCCGGAUUGGUUUAGAGAAGGGGGCAACUCCAUCUUGGAACCGAGAAGCUAGUCAAACUUGGUCAUUUAGAGGAAGUAAAAGUCGUAACA
RNAcentral lists this ribosomal RNA (328 nucleotides) under uncultured eukaryote. RNAcentral's name for it is "partial 18S ribosomal RNA". It matches the Rfam family "Eukaryotic small subunit ribosomal RNA", at positions 1470 to 1796 of the family's 1831-position model. The record is from RNAcentral.